This 459-nucleotide ribosomal RNA is filed under the name Paenibacillus mobilis. RNAcentral's name for it is "bacterial SSU rRNA". The record is from RNAcentral. Lineage: Bacteria; Bacillati; Bacillota; Bacilli; Caryophanales; Paenibacillaceae.
CCUACGGGGGGNYAGCCAGUAGGGAAUCUUCCGCAAUGGGCGAAAGCCUGACGGAGCAAUGCCGCGUGAGUGAUGAAGGUUUUCGGAUCGUAAAGCUCUGUUGCCAGGGAAGAACGCUUGGGAGAGUAACUGCUCUCAAGGUGACGGUACCUGAGAAGAAAGCCCCGGCUAACUACGUGCCAGCAGCCGCGGUAAUACGUAGGGGGCAAGCGUUGUCCGGAAUUAUUGGGCGUAAAGCGCGCGCAGGCGGUCAUUUAAGUCUGGUGUUUAAUCCCGGGGCUCAACCCCGGAUCGCACUGGAAACUGGGUGACUUGAGUGCAGAAGAGGAGAGUGGAAUUCCACGUGUAGCGGUGAAAUGCGUAGAUAUGUGGAGGAACACCAGUGGCGAAGGCGACUCUCUGGGCUGUAACUGACGCUGAGGCGCGAAAGCGUGGGGAGCAAACAGGAUUAGAUACCCC